Molecule: long non-coding RNA, 535 nt
Organism: Gallus gallus (chicken)
Lineage: Eukaryota; Metazoa; Chordata; Aves; Galliformes; Phasianidae
Source: Ensembl
CUAGUGACAGCUGUGCUAAUGAGAUAACUCUUAUUAAUUCCUUGCUUACAUGGGAAGGAACUCACCCAGUCUAGAUAAAAUUAUAGUCUUAACUCAGCGAACUUUUUAAAUGCGAAAGCCAAAAGGAGGCCCCACUAGAAGUGGAGGCAUGGGAAAUCUCCUUGGAGCUGGGCCCAUGAGGGAAUCCACUGCUCUGAAUAGGAUGACUUCUAAAGGAUUUGCCAGCUUUGAAAUGGAUCACAGGGAGAUGGGAAUGGAAAAGCAGAGAAACAUGACAGAAACGUGCUCAGCAGUACUCGUGGGACUGGAGACUAACAGAGCUGACAGCAACAAACUAUUUUACAAAACAAGUGGUCUCACCCAUGCAACGCAACCAAAUUAAUUGGAACGAUUGAGACAAACCAAAGCAAAGCCUGAAGUGGAACCCACUGCCAUCAUUUCAAGACCUAUUAUUUCAAGUAACCACGUGGGGAACAUGAUGGUGAUUGCGGCCAGUGUGGAGUGGUUGCCUUCUUCCAACAUGGGCAGAGUGCUG